GACGAACGCUGGCGGCGUGCUUAACACAUGCAAGUCGAACGGUGAAGCGCCUUCCUUUUUGGUGGGUGUGGAUGAGUGGCGAACGGGUGAGUAACACGUGAGUAACCUGCCCCCUUCUUCUGGAUAACCGCAUGAAAGUGUGGCUAAUACGGGAUAUUCUGGGUCUGUCGCAUGAUGGGUCUGGGAAAGAUAUUGUUUCGGUGGGGGAUGGGCUCGCGGCCUAUCAGCUUGUUGGUGGGGUGAUGGCCUACCAAGGCGGUGACGGGUAGCCGGCCUGGGAGGGUGGACGGUCACAGAGGGGCUGAGACACGGCCCAGACUGCUACGGGAGGCAGAAGUGGGGAAUAUGGCACAAUGGGCGAAAGCCUGAUGCAGCGACGCCGCGUGAGGGAUGGAGGCCUUCGGGUUGUGAACCUCUUUCGCCAGUGAAGCAGGCCUGCCUCGUUUGUGGGUGGGUUGACGGUAGCUGGAUAAGAAGCGCCGGCUAACUACGUG
Molecule: ribosomal RNA, 494 nt
Filed under: uncultured bacterium
Lineage: Bacteria
Description: partial 16S ribosomal RNA
Rfam family: Bacterial small subunit ribosomal RNA
Source: RNAcentral